Long non-coding RNA from Brassica oleracea var. oleracea, 683 nucleotides. RefSeq lists it as uncharacterized. The transcript is spliced from 4 exons. The record is from RefSeq and is a predicted model, not a curated record. NCBI's taxonomy places the organism in Eukaryota, Viridiplantae, Streptophyta, Magnoliopsida, Brassicales, Brassicaceae.
AUCCCAUGAUGCUAACCCUAAUCUGAUAAGAAAAGUCUGUGUCCUUCUCUCUUCUGCGCGCGACGGCGAUGGUGACGCUCGAGUUUCUUCACCGUUACUGAAACGGAUUUCGUUAUGUUUUUUUUGGUGUUUAAUCCCAUUAAAUCUGACGUCCACUACGAGUUCUUCAAUGUGUGGUUUGCGUCGGGGCGAAGCUCUGUCAAUUUGGAGUAUGCUAAUUCACUGUUUAAGGGCUAACUCGAGGGUGUUUUUCUCCGAUUUGAAGUCCGGCAAGUGUUCAUCCGUUGUGGACAAGUCCCACAGAAUAGAAAGCAUAAACUCUACAAGAUCCAAACUGUGAAACGGUUGCACAACGAGUGGGUAGAGAAUGCAGAUUGAUGGGUUGCUGGAUUUCUGGAAAUAUUUGAAGAAGGUUUCAUAGGAAGGGGACUGCAAUCAGAGGGGGUAUCCAAGAGAGGUUAAUCAGAAAAUUCCCAGAAACAAACUGGAGAACGGUGAGGAUGAUGACACAGACGAUCAAUUCUAUGAAGAAUAUUUUGACCAUGACUUGGGCAGGGAUGAGGAUGAAGAUGAAUGACACUAUGCGAGGAUAAGGAAGAGAAAACUGUUAAGACGGAUGCAAAAGACAACAAGAUCAUUUUACUCAUGACAUGGUUACUAAAAUCUCUUAGUCUCUUACUCUA